RNAcentral lists this ribosomal RNA (369 nucleotides) under uncultured bacterium. RNAcentral's name for it is "bacterial SSU rRNA". It matches the Rfam family "Bacterial small subunit ribosomal RNA", at positions 525 to 896 of the family's 1533-position model. The record is from RNAcentral.
ACGUAGGUGGCGAGCGUUGUCCGGAUUUAUUGGGUUUAAAGGGUGCGUAGGCGGUCCAUUAAGUCAGUGGUGAAAUACGGCAGCUCAACUGUCGAGGUGCCAUUGAUACUGAAGGACUUGAGUACAGUCGAGGUAGGCGGAAUUGACGGUGUAGCGGUGAAAUGCUUAGAUAUCGUCAAGAACACCGAUAGCGAAGGCAGCUUGCUAGGCUGUAACUGACGCUGAGGCACGAAGGUGCGGGGAUCAAACAGGAUUAGAUACCCUGGUAGUCCGCACAGUAAACGAUGGUCACUCGGUGUUGGCGGUACACGGCCAGCGCCUUAGCGAAAGCGUUAAGUGACCCACCUGGGGAGUACGCCCGCAAGGGUG